Long non-coding RNA from Mesocricetus auratus (golden hamster), 364 nucleotides. RefSeq lists it as uncharacterized. NCBI's taxonomy places the organism in Eukaryota, Metazoa, Chordata, Mammalia, Rodentia, Cricetidae. The transcript has 3 exons. The record is from RefSeq and is a predicted model, not a curated record.
AUAGCUAAGCAGUUAUAGCUAAGUCGGUUACUGUCAAAACCAGAACUCAAAGCCAAGGUCUUUGGAACCAUGAUCUGAACUUUGCUUUCUCCCAAGGAUGCUCCUUAGGGCUGGCUGUGAAACCAGAAUGAAGUCCUGGAAGACCAUAUCCUUUGGAGAGUUCUUACAGUGGGGAGGCAAGGCAGAAGGGAAGCAUGGGCAGCAGGAGAUGGAAUCUGAGAACUCAUAUCUUCAAAUGCAACAAGACCAGAGGAAGUUGAAUAUUCACCACUCUUCCGCCUUCUGCAGGAUGGGAUUGCAGUGCCUUCUAGAACAGACUUUGGGGUGAGUUUGGUGAGGAUGAUGUGUGAUGACUGUAAGGCAC